This 381-nucleotide ribosomal RNA is filed under the name Triticum aestivum (bread wheat). RNAcentral's name for it is "partial small subunit ribosomal RNA". Lineage: Eukaryota; Viridiplantae; Streptophyta; Magnoliopsida; Poales; Poaceae. The record is from RNAcentral.
AUGCCACAAGGGCUUAGUGUGAGGGUAAGACUGCUGUUGAUAGGACCAGCAGCGGGUAUGCGAGUAGCACACGGUGGUUUACCCAGCUUCGGAGCUCUCCGGAGAGAUAAUACUCCUACUGCUGCAUGUCUGAGUAUAUCUGAUAUAUCUAGUACAGAGUUGCUCCCGGAGCUGUAUAUGGAAACAGUGCCACAGGCAUCUGGUUUCGUAUAUGCAUGUAUGUGGUAUGGUGGCCGUUUCUCUUGGCCGAAUGGGUGUGCCUGGGCAUGUAUGCAUGUGUGUGAGCAUGUGUCAGAGUGGAUGGAUGGAGGCUUGCUAGCUAGCUUAUAUAGUGUGGAGUGGUCAUGGGACAUGGCGUUGGUUGUAAGCUACCUUGGGUAG